UAGACAGAUUAUUGUAUUCGACUGUAUUCACAUCGUGAAAUAGCGCAAUUCAUGGUCUAUUCAACUGUUUUUAAACGGAAAGUGAAUCAAUUAACAUAAUAAACUCCU
This is a non-coding RNA of Nicotiana sylvestris (wood tobacco), 108 nucleotides long. Lineage: Eukaryota; Viridiplantae; Streptophyta; Magnoliopsida; Solanales; Solanaceae. The record is from Rfam.